AUUGACCAGAGGCCUGUAAUUUGGAAAGAAUGAGUGUGGUAAAUCAAUUCAUCCUAUCAAAUAAUAAUUAAGAAUGACCAACAAGACGCCAAGCAGGAAAUCAUAAUUCAAGAAAUAUAGGUACUAGGGAUAUCAUUUCAACUAUAUUCAGAAAAUUAUACAUAAUUCCUCAUAUAGAGAACAAAUGUUGAAUGUCAAUACUGCGAUCUCUUAAACAUGACAAAAUGUAAAACUUUAUUUUCCAAUGGGGAAAUAUGAACUAGAUUCAUAAAGCUCUUGGGCACACAUCAAAUCCAAUUAUAAUUACUUUCAUUUGAGUCAACAUGAAUCUAAUUUCAAGAAAGUUGUAACUGUUACAGAUUCAACCUUUUAG
This 373-nucleotide unclassified non-coding RNA is filed under the name Hevea brasiliensis (rubber tree). Lineage: Eukaryota; Viridiplantae; Streptophyta; Magnoliopsida; Malpighiales; Euphorbiaceae. The record is from RNAcentral.